GAACGCUGGCGGCGUGCCUAACACAUGCAAGUCGUGCGAGAAAGUUCCUUCGGGAGCGAGUAAAGCGGCGCACGGGUGAGUAACACGUAGGUAACCUGCCCCCCAGUCUGGAACAACUAGAGGAAACUCUAGCCAAUGCCGGAUGAGACCACGAUCCCUUCGGGGGUUGCGGCCAAAGAUGGCCUCUACUUGUAAGCUAUCGCUGAGGGAUGGGCCUGCGGGCCAUUAGCUUGUUGGUGAGGUAACGGCUCACCAAGGCUGUGAUGGCUAGCUGGUCUGAGAGGAUGACCAGCCACACUGGGACUGAGACACGGCCCAGACUCCUACGGGGGGCAGCAGUGGGGAAUAUUGCGCAAUGGGCGAAAGCCUGACGCAGCGACGCCGCGUGGGUGAUGAAGGCCUUCGGGUCGUAAAGCCCUGUCGCAGGGGAAGAAUAAGCAUCGGUAUAAUACGCCGGUGCCCUGACGGUACCCUGCAAGAAAGCACCGGCUAACUCCGUG
This 500-nucleotide ribosomal RNA is filed under the name uncultured bacterium. RNAcentral describes it as "bacterial SSU rRNA". It matches the Rfam family "Bacterial small subunit ribosomal RNA", at positions 31 to 507 of the family's 1533-position model. The record is from RNAcentral.